GAUGGGAAGCUGGAUAGAUCCCCCUAUGCAGGGAUGUUUUGACCUUUCGAAUUUGGCUUUGGGCCCGGGGGAGUUGUGAGUUGUGGGGGCCCUUAACUUUGGAGGGACUUUGAAACAUGCCUCUAAAUAUCAUAUGGAUUUCAGUGUCGACUAUGGAGAAUGGGCUGACUUGUCGAGUAGGGACAAGGAUAUUGUCAAGUUGGAGUCUCCCCGAGAGAAAGGAAGGAAAUUAAGAAUAAGAUCAGCAGAAGACAAAGUAAAGUACAGGUACAAACAUGAAGAAGACCUGCGGAAGGGACAUGGAAAAGACUUAAGAGCCUCGGAUAGAAGGUCACCAGGUUGAUGGACUAGAUGGAUGGGAUAGAAAGGACUGACAAAACCCAAGACCAGGAAGAAGAGACGAUGGAUGAAGAUUGGAAGAAAGUUUUAAAAAUUUAUUUAGGAAAUUAUCGUAAAAUUAAUGAGUACUAGAAAAAUGUUGGAAUGAAAUUAUUUGGCUUUAGUAGAAAUGUUAAAAAGAAUUAUGUAAGAAUAUUUUAUGUUUAAAAGAAUUAGGUAUAAAUAAGAUUUAAGUUUUAAGUUUUAGGUUUUUUUAUGGUAAGAUAAGGUUAAAAUAGAUUAAGGUAAUUUAAUGACAGAAUAUUGUGAAAGAUGGAAAAGAUUUGCUGAGAUAAUUAAUAACUAGAAUACAAAAAAGGGAGGUGUGAGGAGGUCGAUGAAAUAAGUUAAUGGAAAAUAAGGAUUUGGGAAUAUUGGAUUUGUUUUUAAAUUUUUUGUUUAUUUUUGUUUUUUGAUUUUGAUGUAUUGUGUGUUUUGUUUUGGUUUUUUUUUCUUUGACUUUGGUUUUUUAUUGACUUGUAUUGUUCAAUUGUUAUUUUUGUCUACCGUCUUCUUUCUUUUUCUUUUUCUCUUGUUUUCUUUCUUUCUUUGUAAUUUUAAAUUCUCAAUAAAUAUCAUUUUUUU
This is a non-coding RNA of Podarcis lilfordi (Lilford's wall lizard), 963 nucleotides long. NCBI's taxonomy places the organism in Eukaryota, Metazoa, Chordata, Lepidosauria, Squamata, Lacertidae. The record is from the annotation of a GenBank genome assembly.